UAAUACGUAGGGUGCGAGCGUUAAUCGGAAUUACUGGGCGUAAAGCGUGCGCAGGCGGUUGUGUAAGACAGGUGUGAAAUCCCCGGGCUUAACCUGGGAACUGCGCUUGUGACUGCACAGCUAGAGUAUGGCAGAGGGGGGUGGAAUUCCACGUGUAGCAGUGAAAUGCGUAGAGAUGUGGAGGAACACCGAUGGCGAAGGCAGCCCCCUGGGCCAAUACUGACGCUCAUGCACGAAAGCGUGGGGAGCAAACAGGAUUAGAUACCCUGGUAGUCCACGCCCUAAACGAUGUCGACUAGGUGUUCGGUGAGGAGACUCAUUGAGUACCGCAGCUAACGCGUGAAGUCGACCGCCUGGGGAGUACGGUCGCAAGAUUA
Molecule: ribosomal RNA, 377 nt
Filed under: uncultured beta proteobacterium
Lineage: Bacteria; Pseudomonadati; Pseudomonadota; Betaproteobacteria
Description: bacterial SSU rRNA
Rfam family: Bacterial small subunit ribosomal RNA
Source: RNAcentral